This 308-nucleotide long non-coding RNA is filed under the name Homo sapiens (human). RNAcentral describes it as "HSALNT0088591". The record is from RNAcentral. Lineage: Eukaryota; Metazoa; Chordata; Mammalia; Primates; Hominidae.
GUGUUAAGAGAUUCUUUCAUAGGUGAAAACUCUCGUACCUGCAUGUUGCCACAAUCUCUCCAGGAAUGGCAUCCUGUGAAAAUACUCUUAAUACAUUAAGAUAUGCAAAUAGGUAAAGGAGUUUGGAAUUAGUCCAUCAGACAUUCCCUUCUCACAGGGUAGUGGCAGUCGCCCUGAUCUCUCUCCUUCUUAUGAAUAUGACGACUUUUCUCCUUCAGUUACCAGGUCAAAGAAUUGACUGUAGAUCCAACUGCUGCUGGUGAUGUUCGUCCAAUAAUGCACCAUCCACCAAACCAGAUUGAUGACUU